This 554-nucleotide ribosomal RNA is filed under the name uncultured bacterium. RNAcentral's name for it is "partial 16S ribosomal RNA". It matches the Rfam family "Bacterial small subunit ribosomal RNA", at positions 355 to 902 of the family's 1533-position model. The record is from RNAcentral.
CUAAGAAUAUUCCGCAAUGGACGGAAGUCUGACGGAGCGACGCCGCGUGGAUGACGAAGGCCGAAAGGUUGUAAAGUUCUUUUGCUGGGGAAGAAUAACCGCAGGAGGGAAUGCCUGUGGGAUGACAAGAACCGGCGAAUAGGCCCCGGCCAACUACGUGCCAGCAGCCGCGGUAACACGUAGGGGGGCGAGCGUUGUUCGGAAUUACUGGGCGUAAAGGGCAUGUAGGCGGCUUGGAAAGCCUGGCGUGAAAGUCUGCAGCUUAACUGCAGGGGUGCGCUGGGAACUGCUGAGCUUGAGUGACGGAGAGGGAGCUGGAAUUCCUGGUGUAGGGGUGAAAUCUGUAGAUAUCAGGAAGAACACCGAUGGCGAAGGCAAGCUCCUGGCCGAUGACUGACGCUGAGGUGCGAAAGUGUGGGGAUCAAACAGGAUUAGAUACCCUGGUAGUCCACACAAGUCAACGAUGUGCACUAGGUGCUGGGGCGGUAGCUUCGGUGCCGGAGCGAACGUGGUAAGUGCACCGCCUGGGGAGUAUGCUCGCAAGGGUGAAACUC